Molecule: transfer RNA, 63 nt
Filed under: Paramuricea clavata
Lineage: Eukaryota; Metazoa; Cnidaria; Anthozoa; Malacalcyonacea; Plexauridae
Rfam family: tRNA
About the family: Transfer RNA (tRNA) molecules are approximately 80 nucleotides in length. Their secondary structure includes four short double-helical elements and three loops (D, anti-codon, and T loops).
Source: Rfam by way of RNAcentral
CUUGCGGUAGCUCAGUCGGUAGAGCGAAGGACUGUAGUUGUGGUUCGAAUCCAGCUCGUAAGA